AGUCAAUAGAUACCCAGGUAGUCCCAGCUGUAAACGAUGCGCGUUAGGUGUAUCGGUGACCACGAGUCACCGAGGUGCCGAAGGGAAACCGUGAAACGUGCCGCCUGGGAAGUACGGUCGCAAGGCUGAAACUUAAAGGAAUUGGCGGGGGAGCACCACAACAGGUGGAGCCUGCGGUUUAAUCGGACUCAACGCCGGGAAGCUCACCGGAUAAGACAGCUGAAUGAUAGCCGGGUUGAAGACUCUGCUUGACUAGCUGAGAGGAGGUGCAUGGCCGUCGUCAGUUCGUACUGUGAAGCAUCCUGUUAAGUCAGGCAACGAGCGAGACCCACGCCAACAGUUGCCAGCAUGUCCUCCGGGAUGGUGGGGACACUGUUGGGACCGCCUCUGCUAAAGAGGAGGAAGGAAUGGGCAACGGUAGGUCAGCAUGCCCCGAAUUAUCCGGGCUACACGCGGGCUACAAUGGUCAGGACAAUGGGUAUCAACACCGAAAGGUGAAGGCAAUCUCCUAAA
RNAcentral lists this ribosomal RNA (513 nucleotides) under uncultured bacterium. Its description in RNAcentral is "bacterial SSU rRNA". It matches the Rfam family "Archaeal small subunit ribosomal RNA", at positions 726 to 1236 of the family's 1478-position model. The record is from RNAcentral.